UACGAAGGGGGCUAGCGUUGUUCGGAAUCACUGGGCGUAAAGCGCAUGCAGGCGGAUCGUUAAGUCGGGGGUGAAAUCCCGAGGCUCAACCUCGGAACUGCCUUCGAUACUGGCGAUCUUGAGUCCGGGAGAGGUGAGUGGAACUGCGAGUGUAGAGGUGAAAUUCGUAGAUAUUCGCAAGAACACCAGUGGCGAAGGCGGCUCACUGGCCCGGUACUGACGCUCAGGUGCGAAAGCGUGGGGAGCAAACAGG
This 253-nucleotide ribosomal RNA is filed under the name uncultured bacterium. RNAcentral's name for it is "partial 16S ribosomal RNA". It matches the Rfam family "Bacterial small subunit ribosomal RNA", at positions 524 to 776 of the family's 1533-position model. The record is from RNAcentral.